Molecule: non-coding RNA, 4864 nt
Organism: Heterocephalus glaber (naked mole-rat)
Lineage: Eukaryota; Metazoa; Chordata; Mammalia; Rodentia; Bathyergidae
Source: RefSeq, a predicted model, not a curated record
UGGUGUAGGCAGGGUUAGGCUUCGCGUUGGCUUCUGGGAAAUGUAGUUUUGCUACAGCCUGCGCUACUGUUUGCGACGGAAACUACAACCCCCAGGAGCCACCGCGACUUCGCCUGUCGCAGCCUGCAAAUCAAAGGUUCUGGAGGCAGGAGUUGAGUCGGUCGGUCUGAUAAUGGAUUCUGAAUUAAUGCAUAGUAUAGUAGGAAGCUAUUUUAAACCUCCAGAAAGAGUAUUUGUUCCACCAUUUAUCCAAGAUGAAACGUCUCAGAAAUGCCACCCUGUGAACUUAGAAGUUACUGCUCCUAAAAUGCUUCAUAGUCCAAAUAGCCAAGCUCUUACUUGGGCCUUACAAACUCUUCAGGAAAAGAUUCAUCGUUUAGAGCUUGAGAGAACACAAGCUGAAGAUAACCUGAACAUACUUUCUAGAGAAGCGGCUCAGUACAAAAAGGCCUUGGAAAAUGAAACAAAUGAGAGGAAUCUGGCACACCAGGAACUGAUAAAGCAGAAGAAAGAUAUAAGUAUACAGUUAAGCUCAGCCCAGUCUCGUUGUACUCUUCUAGAGAAACAACUAGAAUAUACAAAGAGAAUGGUUCUCAAUGUAGAACGAGAAAAAAAUAUGAUACUAGAACAACAGGCCCAGCUUCAAAGGGAAAAAGAACAAGAUCAGAUGAAGCUGCAUGCAAAACUUGAAAAGCUUGAUGUCUUAGAAAAAGAGUGUUUUAGACUGACAACCACUCAGAAGACUGCUGAGGACAAGAUUAAACAUCUAGAGGAAAAACUUCAGGAAGAAGAACAUCAGCGUAAGCUAUUUCAAGACAAAGCUGCUGAGCUUCAAACUGGACUUGAAAUCAGUAAAAUUUUAAUGUCUUCAGUUUCAAAUUCAAAACACUCCAAGGAAAAGAAAAAAUCUUCAAAGUCUGCCAGUGCAGGCUGUUCUGUGAAUGCAGGUAGGCAAAGCCUUCAGCACAAGAUGUAUCAUUGCAGCCCACAUGUCUUUCCAAAACAUGCCCAUGUGAUUGAGCCUCGAUGUCUCUGUAAGCCACCUAGAACAGUUUCCCAGUAUAACGCUGUACCUUGUGAAUCAGAAAAGUCUGUUUCCAUUUGUGACAAUUUGUCUGAACUUUUGAUGGCAAUGCAAGAUGAGCUGGACCAAAUGAGCAUGGAGCAUGAAGAACUACUGAAACAAAUGAAGGAAACUGAAAGCCAUUCCAUGUGUGACGACAUAGAAUGUGAACUAGAGUGUUUAGUCAAGAAAAUGGAAAUUAAAGAAAAACAAAUUUCCAAACUGAAGAAGCAUCAGGACAGUGUCCAUAAACUGCAGCAAAAAGUUCAAAACUCAAAGAAAAGUAAAGCUUUGGGUAUUCAGCAAGACAGUAACCAAGGAUUGAAGAGCAUGAAAAAUAGCCCCAGAAAAUGUUUGAAUGAAGCUAACUCUUCUCAGAAAAGCAGCAACUUUCAUCCAAUACGAGUUCAUAAUAUUCAAGCGAAAUUGAGAAGAGAUGAUAUCAUGUGGGAACAGUAAUACAAUAGCAAAACUGUCAGCUUAAAUGAACUUUGUCAGCAAGAAUUUGAAUUGUUAAAAUGGUUUUAAUCUAAUAUAUGUUUGUGAAAUUUUAAAUUACAUUUCUGGCCUCUAUAAAACAUGAAGUUGUAUGUUUUUAAAUCAAUGCUUAGUGACCAACUAAGAGUUCCAAAUAAUAUGAUAUCUUUUUUUCUUUUUCUUACUGACCAAAGCCCAUAAACUCAUCAUCUUUUAGAAACAUUAUUCACUCUGUAGAUAUCUUAAGCUAAAGCUAGGAAAUUAUACUGGGUUGCUCAGUAUUCAAAAUUGAGUUAAAUCUGAGAUAUCAAUACCAUUCCACUUUUUCAUUUAGUAGACUUAUAACCUUUUUUUUUUUUUUUAGUAGACUUAUAACCUUAAGAACCAACAUUAAAUGAACAGAGUACAGAAAGAUCUUAGUGCUGUCUGGCGCUGUCUCCCUGUCUUGUUUCUACAGUUUUGUGAAAGUCUUUAACGUUGGUUUUAUGUGACAAUUACAAGUAGGAAUCCAUAGUUACCUAAUAUGUACAAGACAGUAAUUCACUGACAGAAUACUAUUCCUAUUCUCUAUACAAAUCUAGAUUUUUUUUAAUACCCAUGAUCUGAUUUAUCUUUAUUACUUUUGCUGACUUUUAUUCUUUGGAUUAUAUAUAAUGUCCCUCAAUCUAAAUUGAGAACAUGAGUUUCUACCAUCUAAAAAGGUGGUAUAUUUUUAUUAGAAAGAGAGGUAUUUAAUUACCUUAUCCAGCAAAAAAUCAGGGUGAUGUGGCAUAUCUUUAUUUUUAUAUUUUAAAAUUAGUGAUGUAAUAAUUUCUUUAUGUAUGCAUGCUUUAUAAUAAAUUUACACUUGGCUUUUUAGAAGCCUGUGAUAACUAGUACAACUUUUUUGAACUCUUGGAUUCUCACUCAAAUCCUCUGAUGCAACUAGAGAACUAAAGUCAUCAACUAAAGUAGAAAUAGAGGACAGAUAGAAAAGCUGUAAGAAAAGCUUGGAAUAUAGGGUAGCAGUUUAAGAAUUUACCAAAUUCUCUGAAUUCACACCAGUAGGAGUGUUCAGGCUUUGGAUGUGAAAGAAUUUUUAGGUUGGACCUAAGGAGCUAAAAAAAAUAAUUUUUAAAAGAUGGUCUUUGUUUCUGUUUUCCUAAGAAAUUCUCAAAAAGUGAGUAAUUGUGAAUCUUCUAGGGAAGAGGAGAGCUAUGAUUUCAUGCUAAUGGUGAGAAGAAAUGCCAUGGUAGAGGCAUUUCCAUACCUGAAAAUGAGCUGACUGAAAAUGGGCAGACUGAUCCUUGGAAUUGAAUUUGAAAGUAAUUAAUGGCACAGAUCAAAGUUUCUCUCCUGGUUUGAAUAAUACAUGUGAUGUGUGUCCUUAACUUGCUUUUACUUUGCCUUCCCUAUCAGCUUCUUGGCCCUGGAGGUGUUCCCCCGAAUGUUCCAUCUAAAUUCAGUUUUAGCACCAUAUCCAUUUUUCUGCUUUACCUUUCCUCCUCAAAGAUACAAGUUCUAUAAUUUAAGCUUAGCAAAAAAGAAAAAAGAAACUAAAAACAAAACUCACCAAGACUAUAAUGCAACCCUUUUCUUCUAUGCAUUUAGGAAGGUGGCUAAUUUGGAGGGCAGCUUGAUUUUGGUUUUUUUGAGACAGAGUCAUGCUGUGUAGUUCAAGCUGGCCUUGAAUUCACAGCGAUCCUACUUCCUCACUUUCUCAAGUGCAAGUGCUGGAAUUACAGAUGUGUGCCACCAUACCCAGCAAAUACAUUUUUUAUCAGAAAAGUUACUACUUAUGAAAAUGUGUUGCUAAAACAAAUUACUGUAAAAUGCAAAAAUCAUUUUAAAAACACUUAAAUAUUUCAGUUAAGAAUUGAGUGUUUUCUCAUAAAAUUAUUGUAGUAUAGUAGAAAAGAACACAAUACCUUUGAGUUAAGAGAUUUGGAUUUAAAUUCUGACUUCAUUGUUUUAUUUUUAAUUUGGGGGGGGGUACCGGAGAUCGAACUCGGGACCUUGCGCUUCUGGGGCAGGCGGCAGAACCACUGAGCUAAAUCCCUGGUCCUUUGACUUCACUGUUUGUUAGCUUACAUAAUCAAGUAACUUUGGAGCUUCAGUUUCUCAUCUGUAAAGUUGGGGUUAUACUAAUCCUACUGCCAGGGUGGUUGUGAGGACUAAAUGAAAUAACUAACAUCCAAAAGCAUCCAACAGAAGGCUUGACAUUUAAUUAAGACUCAAUAAAUGUUUUUUAAUCUGAGUGGCCAAAAUAAUAAUAAUUACUGUAGAACACAAAAGUGGAAAUGUUCUAAUUUUUUUCCCCCUGUACCUGAAGGAAAAUCACUUUGACUACUUUCCUAUCCCCAGGUUUCUACAGGGUUGGGGUGAAGAAUACAAAUCUACCACGCCGUAGAAAUACAUAAUCACACACAGCAACUUGGUGUGGAGUUUGUUUUGGUUGUUGAGGUAACAUUUAUUUCUGGGAGACAGUGAAGAAUGGGGCUUUGUUGCUCCAUCACAGCUACUGAACUAAAAACAUGUCUUUGUUCACAGACAGCCUGCUUGUCAGGGCCACUGACUCUUCGGUGGGUGGAGCAAAAGCUUUCUUUCCUGGAUGGGGCAUUCUGUGUUCAGUGUACAACAGUUGCUGUAGCAAUCCCACUGCUGUGCUCUGCCUAACAGAAACAUGAUCUCAACUUUGAUGAAACUAUGAAAUCGGACAGUUUUAGUGUUUGAAGUGGAAGAUACUGUGAAUAUUCUAAUACUGGAAAUGAGAGCUGAAUCUUGAAUUAACUGAUUUGGGUGAGUCAUUGGCAACCAGCAAUUUUUAUUGUGUUGUAGCUUAAAGAUUAAGAGUGUUGGAGAGACAAGCUCAGUUUUCAGUAUAUAAGAUUAAAGAGUAAGAUUAAAAUGGGAGGUACACUGGCUGAGGUCGUGUACUUGAAAAAUUAUUUUUUGAAAUUUUGUAGCUUUCUUUAAAAGUAUAAUUUUAACUAUAAAAUAGUUAUUCUUAAUCCAUGAUUAAAAUAUCAAAAAAUAAAUAAAAUGUUGACUUGUAAAUGAUUCAAGAAAUCAGUCUAAGGGGGAAAAGUCCAAUUUAUCAUGCACAGUGGAAGGUGAGUGUCAUGACCAAAAUCAUGGCCAAAAAUGCACCAGCUGCCAUUAUUGGUGUAGAGUACAUAUGAAACUCUUAAUGGGGGUUCCUGGAACUCUAGCUAAAGAGUAACUAACUAUAGGUGUACAACUGAGAACAUUUGUAUGUGAAAUUUAGAUAAGUACAAGCUGACUCCCAGACAUAAGACAAGCCUCUCUAAGGCAAAAUAGCAUUUGUGAGACUAAAAAAAAAAA